CGGCGCCCGGGACAUCGCACCCUGCAGAUUCUGCACUGCCUCCGCGAGGGUGCGAACCUGCUGGGUUAGCUGGUCGAACUGGGCGGCUUCGACCAUCUGAAUGGGCGGUGGGGCGGUGGAGUGUUGCUGAGAGCGUGUUGGGGAUGCAGCGGCCUCCCGGCCAGUGGCGCGAGAGGCCCCGCGACCGGAAGCAUUGGAAGCUCCACGACCACCUCGCCGUGCCAUUACGAUCGCUCUGAGAUCCGGUGGCCCUCCCUCUAGCGCCAACUGUUGCUGGUGGUCCAAACCGAGAACGAUUGGCACAGCGGUGUGAACGGGGUUCCCUUGGAGUUGGGUUGAUUGCGCUCCACCUUCC
Molecule: long non-coding RNA, 355 nt
Filed under: Phoenix dactylifera (date palm)
Lineage: Eukaryota; Viridiplantae; Streptophyta; Magnoliopsida; Arecales; Arecaceae
Description: long non-coding RNA (PDAC_LNC010146)
Source: RNAcentral